RNAcentral lists this ribosomal RNA (292 nucleotides) under uncultured bacterium. RNAcentral describes it as "partial 16S ribosomal RNA". The record is from RNAcentral.
GGACUACAAGGGUAUCUAAUCCUGUUUGCUCCCCACGCUUUCGUGUCUCAGCGUCAGUACUCGUCCAGUUGGCCGCCUUCGCCACCGGUGUUCCUCUCGAUAUCUACGAAUUUCACCUCUACACCGAGAAUUCCACCAACCUCUCCGGUACUCAAGCCACGCAGUUUCGGGUGCACUUCCCGGGUUGAGCCCGGGGAUUUCACAUCCGACUUGCGCGGCCGCCUACACACGCUUUACGCCCAGUAAUUCCGAACAACGUUUGCACCCUCUGUCUUACCGCGGCGGCUGGCAC